AAUCACUUGUUCUUUAAAUGAGGACUUGUAUCAACGGCAUCACGAGGGUUAAACUGUCUCCUUUUUCUUAUCAGUGAAACUAAUCUCCCCGUGAAGAAGCGGGGAUAAUUCUAUAAGACGAGAAGACCCCAUGGAGCUUUAAACCCAACUACACUCCUCUUAACUUUACUUUUAAAUCUUGAGGACACUGUAUGUUCUGGUUUUAGGUUGGGGUGACCGCGGAGCAUAAACUAGCCUCCACAAUGAAUAGACCUCCUCUUUAUCCUAGAUUUACACCUCUAAGAAUUAGUAUUCUAACAUAAAAUGAUCCGAUAUUCGAUCAACGAACCAAGUUACCCUGGGGAUAACAGCGCAAUCUACUUUAAGAGCUCCUAUCGACAAGUGGGUUUACGACCUCGAUGUUGGAUCAGGGUAUCCUAGUGGUGCAGCAGCUACUAAAGGUUCGUUUGUUCAACGAUUAAAACCCU
Molecule: ribosomal RNA, 467 nt
Filed under: Guibemantis wattersoni (Watterson's tree frog)
Lineage: Eukaryota; Metazoa; Chordata; Amphibia; Anura; Mantellidae
Description: partial 16S ribosomal RNA
Rfam family: Bacterial large subunit ribosomal RNA
Source: RNAcentral